RNAcentral lists this ribosomal RNA (486 nucleotides) under uncultured bacterium. RNAcentral describes it as "partial 16S ribosomal RNA". It matches the Rfam family "Bacterial small subunit ribosomal RNA", at positions 29 to 507 of the family's 1533-position model. The record is from RNAcentral.
AUUGAACGCUGGCGGCAUGCUUUACACAUGCAAGUCGAGCGGCAGCGCGGGGGCAACCCUGGCGGCGAGCGGCGAACGGGUGAGUAAUGCAUCGGAACGUAUCCACGAGUGGGGGAUAACCCAGCGAAAGUUGGGCUAAUACCGCAUGAGCUCUGAGGAGGAAAGCGGGGGACCUGCGAGGGCCUCGCGCUGGAGGAGCGGCCGAUGUCCGAUUAGCUAGUUGGUGGGGUAAAGGCUUACCAAGGCGACGAUCGGUAGCUGGUCUGAGAGGAUGAUCAGCCACACUGGGACUGAGACACGGCCCAGACUCCUACGGGAGGCAGCAGUGGGGAAUUUUGGACAAUGGGGGCAACCCUGAUCCAGCCAUGCCGCGUGAGUGAAGAAGGCCUUCGGGUUGUAAAGCUCUUUCGGACGGAACGAAAUGGGCGGGACUAAUACUCCUGUCUGAUGACGGUACCGUAAGAAGAAGCACCGGCUAACUACGUG